CAGUUUUUUUCGAUUGCUUAAACACUAAAAUCCAAAGUAUGACACUAUUAUCAAAACCUUACACUCAAGGAUCAUAACAUGAGCCCAGAUCUGCACCACUAUAAGCACAAUGUCAGCUUCACACUUUUUGCAAAACAAUACACAGUGAUUUACUAAACACACUUAACAUACAUUACACACAAAAAUCUAUCAUGAAGUCACGUCCUUGCAAUACCAAAGCACUGACUGUCAAAUUACCACACCGUCCAACCAAUUGGUUCAACACAGUCAUCAGGUGUGCAAACACUUGUUUGCUUAAUUGCAGACACAACAAUCAGGUGUGUAAGCACUAUAAAAAGCAGUAGGUGAGUUCAGCGUUCUCCAAGCACAAUGGAAAGAGUCAGAGAAAGAGUAAGACGACGACGACGACGACGACGACGAGGAGGUGGAGGAGGACGGGGAGAACGAGGAGGAAGAGGAAGACAAGAAGGUGCUCAAAGAGGACCGAAUCUGACAAAUGAGAUCCGCGCAACACUGGUUGACCACGUUGUCAACCAAGGCCUGACGCUGAGGGAGGCUGGACUGCGAGUACAGCCAAAUCUAAGCCGAUAUACAGUGGCAAGUGUGAUGAGAACAUUUCGACUGGAAAAUAGGAUUGAGGGUCAGGGACGACAAGGGGGAAGGCCUCCUAUGUUCACAGAACAGCAAGAGAGGGAGAUAGUAAACAUGGUUUUGGCCAACAAUGCUAUAACACUCAAGCAGCUCCAAGCUAACAUUGUCAAUAACCACGCCAUUUUCAAUGAUAUCCAUCAGGUCUCAACAUCAACACUGGCACGCAUCCUAAAAAAGAAACAUAUUCAAAUGAAGCAAAUUUAUCGAGUGCCUUUCGAGCGCAAUUCCGAAAGGGUAAAACGACUGCGGCAUGAUUAUGCAGAGGUAUGUAUUCACUUUAGCAGUGUGAUCUUGCAUACUGUCUCAGUUUUUUACUGUACUGUAAUAUGUAUACUAGAUCUACACUGAACGACACAAUUUUGCCGGACACUGUUUUUCAGAGUUUUACGAAUGGAUGGAGAGGAGAUCCAGCAUGAGUUCAUUUACGUAGAUGAGGCUGGGUUCAACCUGACGAGAACACGAAGGAGGGGAAGAAACAUCAUUGGCCACAGGGCUAUAGUCAAUGUCCCAGGGCAACGUGGGGGUAAUAUAACACUCUGUGCAGCCAUUACACAGAAUGGGGUCCUCCACCGCCAUGCCCAUAUGGGCGCUUACAACACAGCACUCAUGCUUGCAUUCUUGGACCAAUUGCGCAA
Long non-coding RNA from Gadus macrocephalus (Pacific cod), 1286 nucleotides. RefSeq lists it as uncharacterized. The transcript is spliced from 3 exons. NCBI's taxonomy places the organism in Eukaryota, Metazoa, Chordata, Actinopteri, Gadiformes, Gadidae. The record is from RefSeq and is a predicted model, not a curated record.